CGUGUUGUGAUAGUCGAUAGUCGUGCGUGUGUAUCGCUGGCUGUCAGCACUAGCAAAAGCAUUUUUGCUGGAGUCUAACCAUUUUAUUUUAGUUAAUAAAAACACAUAUUUCCUCUUUUUUUUUCUUUGUGCGCGUAUGUAAAGUGCUAAAAGACAUUCACGCGAAAGUUGCGAGUGUAUUGACGGGCCACCUCGCUGUCACAGACGCAAAUUUCCUACGAAAUUUCACAUACUCACACAUAUAUACAUACAUAUAAACACACAGACACACACACACACACGCAUACACUUGCAUAUAUAUAAUUUUUUUUUUUUUUGUCGUUCAUUUUGGCCCCCCUCGUACAAUAGUAAAAAGCCAACCUUGAGAAACACCCAACACAGCAGUUUUAAACCGUUUCACUGAUGUCCGCAAACGUUUCGUGGUAAGAUUUGAUGCCAAAGUAAAGAAAUUACCGAACAAGGCAAAGAAAUGGAAGAAGAAAAAUUGAACAACUUUACUGCAAACGGUCUACGAAAAUGUAAUACAAAGCGCAGCAUGCGUUCAAAUGCGGGCUAAAAUUUGACUUAAUUUUUUUCUUUUGUGUCAAAAAAAGGCGAUGGAAAAGAAACAUGUAAGGUGCAGUAGUGGAAACUGGCUGCAGCUGUGUGUAGAACAAAACUAAGAAGAAGCAGAGUUGCAUAUUGUUAAAUAGCAGCGAGCGCACGGCGUAGCCAUUAUACCAACAACAUGGACAACUUGCGGAUGAUGAAGGAACAUCGUUCCCA
Unclassified non-coding RNA from Drosophila navojoa, 765 nucleotides. The record is from RefSeq and is a predicted model, not a curated record. Lineage: Eukaryota; Metazoa; Arthropoda; Insecta; Diptera; Drosophilidae.